CGCGAGCUGGGUUUAGAACGUCGUGAGACAGUUCGGUCCCUAUCUGCCGUGGGCGCUGGAGAAUUGAGGGGGGCUGCUCCUAGUACGAGAGGACCGGAGUGGACGCAUCACUGGUGUUCGGGUUGUCAUGCCAAUGGCACUGCCCGGUAGCUAAAUGCGGAAGAGAUAAGUGCUGAAAGCAUCUAAGCACGAAACUUGCCCCGAGAUGAGUUCUCCCUGAGACUAUAAGUCUCCUGAAGGAACGUUAAAGACGAUGACGUUGAUAGGCCGGGUGUGUAAGCGCAGCGAUGCGUUGAGCUAACCGGUACUAAUGAACCGUGAGGCUUAACCUUACAACGCCGAAG
This 344-nucleotide ribosomal RNA is filed under the name Klebsiella pneumoniae. RNAcentral describes it as "partial 23S ribosomal RNA". It matches the Rfam family "Bacterial large subunit ribosomal RNA", at positions 2599 to 2925 of the family's 2925-position model. The record is from RNAcentral. Lineage: Bacteria; Pseudomonadati; Pseudomonadota; Gammaproteobacteria; Enterobacterales; Enterobacteriaceae.